This 4148-nucleotide long non-coding RNA is filed under the name Marmota monax (woodchuck). The record is from RNAcentral. Lineage: Eukaryota; Metazoa; Chordata; Mammalia; Rodentia; Sciuridae.
GAUAAUUUCAGUCUUCUUUGUCUUAAACAUCUUUGACAAUUAUGUUUAUUAUGUAAACAUGGCUUAAAAAUUAUGGACAAUGGAUAGAUUAAAGACAUUUGAUAUUUUUAAUUCAUACUAACUGUAGAAAUGGCCCUAAAGCAUGCUGCAUAAUUGAUAAUUUAUAUUUUCAUUAUUAUAAAUGUUUAUAUUAAUGAUAUUGCAUUUAAUUGUAUCAAAUUAGUCACCAUUUCAUAGCAACAGUAUUGUUUUCUGUUUUUCUUCUCUAACUUUCUAAAAUUAUAUCCUUCAAUGGGGAUAGAAAUUGUGAUUAAAAGAAUCACAUUUCUUGAUUAUCCCCAUAUGUAAAUUAAUCAUUUUAUCAAUACUAGAGGCCACAUGCUGACUCCCUGGAUACCUACAAUUGGGAAGAAAGUGACAGAUUAUUAUUUCACCUUUAGUUCAAAAUAACAUCACUGCAGUCUGGAGAAAUUAUAAUUUCACAUACUUGAAAUAAAAUCUCUGAAAAGUAUUUAAAUGGUAUCAAACUGCAGAGCAACAGGGCUUCAGUGUAUUCCCACCUGAGUUAAUAUAUACACUUGGAUGUUUUUUCUCACUAACAUAUUAAUGUUAAUAUUUUUUCAGACAUACUGUAAUUUAAAAAUUAAUGUGAACAUUUGUUAUAAGUUCACAGAAAACUUAAUGAUGUUCAAAUUCUCAGGAAUUAAGGACUAACCAUACAUUGUCAGUUCAAAUUAAAUUUUGUAAAGGAUGGCAAGUUUGUUACCUCACUUGAGUGGGGGUUCCCUCUCCCAAUUCUAAGAAAAUACAAUAUGUAUAAUAAAACAUUAAUAAAUAUAAUUUUAAAUUUUUCCUUCCCCUGGAUGUUUAUGUUCAAAAUUGAAUGUCUUGAACCAGUAGUUCUUAACAUUUACCUUUUUGGGUCCCCUUAAAUCAAAUAAAAUAUACGGAAUCCCUCAAAGAAAAAAUGCUUGCAAGCUGUCCAGAGGCAGAAAAUUUCAAGUAUAUAAUGGGAUUGGAUUUUGUCUAUCCCAGGAAAAGAACCUUUGUUUUCUUUCCUUUAUCCAUUCUUGAUCUUUCCAAUAGCUCGAUAUUUUCAAAUAAAACGAAUAACAUGAAUUUAUUUUAAAUCUAAUCCUGGAAAGGGAUCCUAAGUAUGAAGUGCUUAAUAUGUUAGAAAUAUCUAUAAUCCUAUUUACAAACAUGGGUUGAAGUGAAACAGUAAUAAACAAGAGCCUUUUAAAUCUACAUUGGAGGGCAAGAGAUAACAAUCCUGUUAAACAUUAUGCUGGAGAAAUGUCUGAUUACCACCUUUUUUAUUCUGAGGUAUUAAAUUUGUAAAAUUGUGGGAAAGAUAAUACUACCACGUACAUCAUGUUACUUUUUGAUGCUAGUUUUUUUUUUUUUUUUUUUUUUAAUUUUUUAUUGUUGGCUGUUCAAAACAUUACAUAGUUCUUGAUAUAUCAUAUUUCACAAUUUGAUUCAAGUGGGUUAUGAGCUCCCAUUUUUACCCCAUAGUUUUGCUGAAUGUAUGAAUGGUAGACUUUCAUAAUUUGAGGGGAUGGGUACUGGGGAUUGAACUCCGGGGCUCUCCAACACUGAGCCAUAUCCCCAGCCCUAUUUUGUAUCUUUACUUAGACACAGGGUUUCACAGUGUUGCGUAGUGCCUCGCUUUUGCUGAGGCUGGCUUUGAACUUGUGAUCCUCCUGCCUCAGCCUCCUGAGCCACUGGGAUUACAGGUAUGUGCCACCAUGCCUAGCAACUUUAAAAAUCUUGGCACUAUUCUCUUUUCCAGCUUCAGGUUGCAGAAGUUUCAGAUGUCUAUCACCCCGCUACUCCUUGGUAUUGAUGCACCAUUUUAUUAAACUAUUUUCCUGUCAGUGGAGAUUAACAUUAUUUAUUUGGUUUGCCACUAAAGUCAAUGCAAACCACAAUUUACAUAUGCUCUUGGUAUAAGGAUCUUGGAUGUGAUAUUACCCUACUUGCAGGCUACCACAUUUGAUUGCCAUGAUGUCAUGGAUGCUGACCAAAGGGACAAUAAUGCAGGCAAUAUGAGCACCAGCGUAUUUUCAUCAGUCCCCCUUUCCCUUAAAUUCCAUAGGGAAAUGUUUCGUGGAUCCUGACAGAUGCUUUAAUGCCUAGGGGCUUUGUUACUCCUGAAGACCACCGAGUUUAGGAAAUCCAUGACUUAUAUAGCAAAUAGUAAAAAAAAGCCUGCUCUGUGUACUGGAGGAAGAUACUUCAUCCUUCGGGGUUGUUCAUUGCAGUUUUCCCAUCCAGUAUCAGCUCUUCUCUGGCUUAGGGAGAGCUGACAGGUACCUAGAAGUAUCUGUCUGUAUAAAAAUAAUUUUUAAAUAAAGCUUUUAGGUGUUAGGAACAAUUACAUAGGUUUUUAAGAUUUCAGAUAAAAAAGAGGAAUCUAGAAUAAGUGGAAAUCUAUAGAAAUUAGAUUGUACAAGGAACUCUUGAGAUGGUGAUGGCAAAGUUAUAGUUUAUAUAAAAGUAAAUUUUUACAUAUAGUACAGUAUAUAAAAAGUUUGGCCAGUAAGUAGUUUCGCUAUUUUGAUAGCUUACCUCUUCAUUACCACUUAAAACUAAGUGAUCUCUCGAGUUCCCAUUAGUGGAGAUAAAUUUCGCAGGAAUAUAGAUGAAAUUUAUCUUUCCAUUGAUUCAUGUCUGAUGCCAUAAUUCUGGGAUCAUCUUUAAGAACUAAAACAUUGUAUAAUGUAUGUAAGAUAUAUGUAAACUGAAGCAUUCUGUAGUAGUGCCCUCAUUAAGGAGGGGGGAAACUUUUAUACCUAGAAGUGUCUGUUGAUAUAAAAUCAAUUUUAAAGUAUUUAAACAAUUUUUGUAGAAAUAAAGAUACUUUGAUAUAGUUUCAAUCAGAAUAAUCUUCACAGCUUAGUACUAAGAAAUAUUUGGUAAUUGCUUAUCUCUGAGGUCAUAUACAUAACCCAUAGUGGUUAGAAGCAUACACUCCAAGGACAGACUGAUGUGAAUCUUGAUUUGCUGCCUGUGAGGUUAUAUAGGCACAAGAUGGGAUAAGGAGUUCGUGGGAUUUUGAGGAUUAAUUUAUAUAAAACACUUUAUAUUUUACCUUUUAUAUGGCAUAUUGAUUUGUACUCUUAGGUAGAAAUGCAUUUGGUAUAUAAAUGUUAGCUGCUAUUAUCACUCUUUUAGGUGGAGUUUGAAAAGCAGUCUGUAUUUGACUGUGGCGAGUCUAGGUUCUUAGCUCAGUGACUAGGCUAGUUGUAAAUGUGAAGAAGGCCUUGCUCUUCUCUAAAAGCAGUCAUAAGAGGGCAGACUUAUGGGUAUGUGAUGGAGAAAUCCACAUGGAAAUCGAAACUGGUGAGGAUAGCUGGUUUUCUAAAAAGGUUCCAUUUCCUAUACUUCCACCAUUCAUUUGGCACUGAUUAAUUUUCCACAGGGCUUCUAUAUGCAUUAAUACACAAUUCAGUAAGUUGAGAAAAAGGGCAGAUCACCUGGUUUCUAAAUUAAAAUUUUUAUUUAAAAAUAUGUAUGUCCUAUUUAAAGAAUACUACUUGGGAAGUGACGGUGUUGGUUGAACAUUUGUUCCCACUUCCUCAGAGGCUCCCUCCCAGCAUUCCCCCAACUACUGUUCAGGGUUUGGUGGAAAUAGGUCUGUUGCUUUUGUUUAGUUUUAUCACCUUUCUGUAUUUUCCUAAAUUAUGUAGUGUUUUGCAUGUUUAUCCUUACCAUAAAUAGCAUCUUACAUUGUAUGUUUUUAUGACUCUAGUAUGAUUUUUGAAAUGCAUGUUGGUGCAUAGCUAUAUCUUAUUUUUACUUCUCUAAUAUUGUUAGUGAUUGUAGAUGUUUAACCUACUGUACCAUUGAUGACACUGGGAUACUAUUGAACAUUCUUGCUGUAAUCACUGUUGUACAUGUCCUAGAGCAUGUGUUGAAACUGGUAAGUGGUGGGACAGGCACACUUUCAAAUUUACUAUAGACUGUCACACUGUUCUCUCAUUUCAGCGGUGGGUUAGACUCCCCAUUGCUCCUUUCCCUUCCAACAGCUAAAUAUUUGCAGUCUGUGGUUUUAAUUUGCACUUUCUAUUAUGAGAGAAUGAGCACAAUUCUGUUUGAGUCCUUUGUAGUUUUUAAUCUAUGAAAUGCUUUCAUGACUUUGC